AGCGCAGGCGGGAAGGCAAGUUGGAAGUGAAAUCCAUGGGCUCAACCCAUGAACUGCUUUCAAAACUGUUUUUCUUGAGUAGUGCAGAGGUAGGCGGAAUUCCCGGUGUAGCGGUGGAAUGCGUAGAUAUCGGGAGGAACACCAGUGGCGAAGGCGGCCUACUGGGCACCAACUGACGCUGAGGCUCGAAAGUGUGGUAGCAAACA
This 206-nucleotide ribosomal RNA is filed under the name uncultured bacterium. RNAcentral's name for it is "partial 16S ribosomal RNA". It matches the Rfam family "Bacterial small subunit ribosomal RNA", at positions 568 to 774 of the family's 1533-position model. The record is from RNAcentral.